Molecule: long non-coding RNA, 1192 nt
Organism: Oncorhynchus tshawytscha (Chinook salmon)
Lineage: Eukaryota; Metazoa; Chordata; Actinopteri; Salmoniformes; Salmonidae
Source: Ensembl
UGCUACCAAAUAUAACAAUAUGCAUUUCAUAAUUAUUACAAAAGUGUAUAAAUAAGGCAUAUUAAACACGUCUGUAAAAUCUCAAUGAGGACAUAGCAAGUUUUCAUUAGUCAUAGGGUACAUCUUACGAAAAAGGUCAGAAUAAUCUACAAGAGACACAUAUUUCAUGUUCAAAUUCACAACAUAACAUACAUAGGCAUUUCAUCAUUAAGUCCUUUAGGAAAUAAUGUCUGGAGGGUGAAAAUCCCAAAACAUUAUCUUAUACUCAGAUUAUCAUUAAUAUCUCCUUCCCUGUCUGAUAUUUUAUCUAUGUUACAGAUCAGACAUUAAUGUAUAUUUUAGAAAACAGCAAAGCCAAAACACUGCUAUGACUCUGAAAUAAUAAGUAGGCAUUUACAAUGUUGCUCCUCCUCUUCACAUAUUGUUGGUUUUUAAACACACCCACCAGGUUUCCUGUCAAAAAGAAAAACCUUGAGAUGCAUCAUUACCUGUAGGUCAUGUCAUGUACGUAUAGAAUGUGUCAGGUUAGGUUUUUGUACAGCGCUUGUAGGUUUCCUUUCACUGUGGGCAUCAGUGCACAGUAGUACAUAGCAGAGUCUUCCUCUUCAGCAGAGGAGAUCUCUAGAUCCACACGGUUCUUCUCAUGAUUUAGUUUGACUGACAGUCGAGGAUCCAGACCUGGAGCCCGUGAUGGAGACCCAACACCAUGCAGGAUAAGCAGGAUAUACUGAGGAGCUGAUCCAGGGUUCUGGAGAUACCAUUGAAGAGAGACUGCAGAUGAGUCAACAGAGUUGGCAGAAGGACCUGACCUGUCUACUGUGAUGUCAUACGGGAAACAUUGCUUGAAGGGCAUAUCUGUAAGAUAUGUAGACAGGAAUUAAUAGACAGGAAUUUUUGUUUUCAUCUUUAUAGCUAUAUUUACAGUUUAAACCUGCAACAUAUUCGGAUAACCGAAUGAGUUUCUGUCACUUUUUCAUUUGUUCAUUUGUUUCAACAAAUAAUUCACUGUUCAUUUCCAACCUACAUGUAUAUGUCUUGUCUAUUGAAGGUAACCAGAUAAUUGACAUGUUUCUCUUAGGGGAUGUCAGUGUUUUUAGUUCACAUUUUUGUACAUUUUUGUACAGGGUUUCAUUUCAUUGUGGGCUCCAGGGCACAGUAGUACAGAGUAGAGUCUAACACUUUAGCAGAGGAG